UUACCGAGUUUACAACUCCCAAACCCAAUGUGAACGUUACCAAACUGUUGCCUCGGCGGGAUCUCUGCCCCGGGUGCGUCGCAGCCCCGGACCAAGGCGCCCGCCGGAGGACCAACCAAAACUCUUAUUGUAUACCCCCUCGCGGGUUUUUUUUAUAAUCUGAGCCUUCUCGGCGCCUCUCGUAGGCGUUUCGAAAAUGAAUCAAAACUUUCAACAACGGAUCUCUUGGUUCUGGCAUCGAUGAAGAACGCAGCGAAAUGCGAUAAGUAAUGUGAAUUGCAGAAUUCAGUGAAUCAUCGAAUCUUUGAACGCACAUUGCGCCCGCCAGUAUUCUGGCGGGCAUGCCUGUCCGAGCGUCAUUUCAACCCUCGAACCCCUCCGGGGGGUCGGCGUUGGGGAUCGGCCCUCCCUUAGCGGGUGGCCGUCUCCGAAAUACAGUGGCGGUCUCGCCGCAGCCUCUCCUGCGCAGUAGUUUGCACACUCGCAUCGGGAGCGCGGCGCGUCCACAGCCGUUAAACACCCAACUUCUGAAAUGUUGACCUCG
Molecule: ribosomal RNA, 544 nt
Filed under: Trichoderma harzianum
Lineage: Eukaryota; Fungi; Ascomycota; Sordariomycetes; Hypocreales; Hypocreaceae
Also listed under: 1 other name
Description: eukaryotic LSU rRNA
Rfam family: 5.8S ribosomal RNA (bases 206-359)
Source: RNAcentral